GAAAUCAUGGCUUAAAUGGUAAAGCAUCUGCCUAGAAGGCAGCAAGGUCCUGAAUUCA
RNAcentral lists this transfer RNA (58 nucleotides) under Dipodomys ordii (Ord's kangaroo rat). The record is from Rfam by way of RNAcentral. Lineage: Eukaryota; Metazoa; Chordata; Mammalia; Rodentia; Heteromyidae.